GGAGAGCCAGUGUGGUGUAGUGGUUAAAGCGGUGGACUCGUAAUCUGGUGAACUGGGUUCGAUUCCCUGCUCCUCCA
Molecule: transfer RNA, 77 nt
Filed under: Podarcis lilfordi (Lilford's wall lizard)
Lineage: Eukaryota; Metazoa; Chordata; Lepidosauria; Squamata; Lacertidae
Description: tRNA.Thr
Source: RNAcentral